UAUUUCCUGAUAAUUAGUGUUAAUAAACGUGUUUCAUCUUUUAUCAGCUAUUUCUCGCGUGUGUAAUCUUCGUAAUUCUAAAUUUUCCGUGUUAGUUUAUUCACGUGUUGUGUGUUCGUUGCCGUCGGGCGUCGGCCGGCAAUGUUUUGUGAACGCCAUUAAGUAAUGAACUUGUGAAAAACAUUUAUAUCAACAGCAGAUGAUUAUGGACUAAUGUGCUACAUGAAUCUACCAAAUUGACAUUCAAAUACUGUAUCUAUCAACAUAUCUUCGAUUUACGGUUCUGCAUAACUGGUAAGUAAAAUAAUUUUAUUAUUUAUAAAA
Long non-coding RNA from Dalotia coriaria, 324 nucleotides. RefSeq lists it as uncharacterized. Lineage: Eukaryota; Metazoa; Arthropoda; Insecta; Coleoptera; Staphylinidae. The record is from RefSeq and is a predicted model, not a curated record. The transcript has 3 exons.